Helianthus annuus (common sunflower) is the source of this 279-nucleotide long non-coding RNA. RefSeq lists it as uncharacterized. NCBI's taxonomy places the organism in Eukaryota, Viridiplantae, Streptophyta, Magnoliopsida, Asterales, Asteraceae. The transcript has 3 exons. The record is from RefSeq and is a predicted model, not a curated record.
GAUCAUAAUAACGGCAAAGACGAGAAGAAGACUACCUUUAUUUUGGAAGAUUUGCAACACCAUCAGAUUUACGUCACGUUAUGGGGUUGUUAUGCUGAUCAGAUUUUAGAUUUUGAGAAGAACAAUAAGGAUGAAAAGAAUGUUGUGGUUGUUGUUCAGUUUGGGAAGUACAGAUUUUGGGGAGGUAAUUUGUUUGUCUCCAAUUUGUAUAAUGUAACUCGAGUCUUGAUAAACUCUGAGGUGAAAGAGAUUUUGGAUUUCAAGAAAAGGUUUGUAAUC